UAAUUCUUUCGGGGCAGGGUGAAAUUCCCAACCGGCAGUAAGUGAAGCCUGCGACCCGAGGUCAUACGAUAUGACCUUGGCUGAUCUAGUGAGAAUCUAGAGCCGACAGUAUAGUCUGGAUGGGAGAAAGAAUGA
Molecule: non-coding RNA, 135 nt
Filed under: Staphylococcus pettenkoferi
Lineage: Bacteria; Bacillati; Bacillota; Bacilli; Caryophanales; Staphylococcaceae
Also listed under: 1 other name
Description: FMN sequence
Rfam family: FMN riboswitch aptamer (RFN element)
About the family: The RFN element is a highly conserved domain that is found frequently in the 5'-untranslated regions of prokaryotic mRNAs that encode for flavin mononucleotide (FMN) biosynthesis and transport proteins.
Source: RNAcentral